RNAcentral lists this ribosomal RNA (439 nucleotides) under uncultured bacterium. RNAcentral's name for it is "partial 16S ribosomal RNA". It matches the Rfam family "Bacterial small subunit ribosomal RNA", at positions 338 to 795 of the family's 1533-position model. The record is from RNAcentral.
CCUACGGGAGGCAGCAGUGGGGAAUAUUGCUCAAUGGGGGAAACCCUGAAGCAGCGACGCCGCGUGAAGGAUGAAGGUAUUCGGGAUGUAAACCCCUUUUAGUAGGGAAGAAAAUGACGGUAUCUAACCAAUAAGCCCCGGCUAACUCCGUGCCAGCAGCCGCGGUAAUACGUAGGAUGCGAGCGUUAUCCGGAUUUAUUGGGUGUAAAGGGUGCGUAGUCGGAAUGGCAAGUCAGCGGUAAAAGCGCGGGGCCCAACCUCGGUGCUCCGUUGAAAAUGGCGUUCUUGAGUGGGAGAGAAGGAUGCGGAAUGCGUGGGGUAGCGGUGAAAUGCAUAGAUAUCACGAAGAACUCAGAUUGCGAAGGCAGCAUACCGGCGUCUAACUGACGCUGAAGCUCGAAAGCGUGGGUAUCGAACAGGAUUAGAUACCCGAGUAGUC